ACCCUCCAAGCCUAAGUACUCCUCAGUGACCGAUAGCGUAACAAGUACCGUGAGGGAAAGGUGAAAAGCACCCCGACGAGGGGAGUGAAACAGUUCCUGAAACCGGACGCUUACAAACAGGUGAAGCCCGCAAGGGUGACAUCGUACCUUUUGUAUUAUGGGCCAGCGACUUAGCGUGACGAGCAAGCUUAAGCCGAUAGGCGUAGGCGCAGCGAAAGCGAGUCUGAACAGGGCGUUCAGUUCGUCGCGUUAGACCCGAAACCUAGUGAUCUAGCCAUGUGCAGGCUGAAGGUGCGGUAACACGCACUGGAGGGCCGAACCGGUGUCCGUUGAAAAGGACUCGGAUGACGUGUGGCUAGGGGUGAAAGGCCAAUCAAACUGGGAAAUAGCUGGUUCUCCGCGAAAACUAUUUAGGUAGUGCCUCGUGCGAAUACCUCAGGGGGUAGAGCACUGGAUGGGCUAGGGGGUCCCACAGACCUACCAAACCUAACCAAACUCCGAAUACCUGAGAGUACUACACGGGAGACAGACGGCGGGUGCUAACGUCCGUCGUCGAGAGGGAAACAACCCGGACCUACAGCUAAGGCCCCUAAUUCGUGGCUAAGUGGGAAAGGAUGUGAGGAUCCCAAAACAACCAGGAGGUUGGCUUAGAAGCAGCCAUCCUUUAAAGAAAGCGUAACAGCUCACUGGUCUAAACAAGGGUCUUUGCGCCGAAAAUGUAACGGGGCUCAAGCCACGAGCCGAAGCUUAGGGCGCAGCAAUGCGCGGUAGCGGAGCGUUCCGUAAGCCUGCGAAGGGCGACCCGUGAGGGCGCCUGGAGGUAUCGGAAGUGAGAAUGCUGGCAUAAGUAACGACAAACAGAGUGAGAGACUCUGUCGCCGUAAGUCCAAGGGUUCCUGCGUAAAGUUAAUCUGCGCAGGGUUAGCCGGUCCCUAAGGCGAGGCCGAGAGGCGUAGUCGAUGGGAAUCACGUUAAUAUUCGUGAGCCAGUGGGUAGUGACGGAUGCUUACCGUCGUUCGGGAUUAUUGGAUUUCCCGGGCGGCCGCGGUGUUCCAGGAAAUAGCUCCCACAUCAGACCGUACCCGAAACCGACACAGGUGGACUGGUAGAGUAUACCAAGGCGCUUGAGAGAACUAUGCUGAAGGAACUCGGCAAUUUACCUCCGUAACUUCGGGAUAAGGAGGCCCAUGCCUUGCGCAAGCAGGGUGUGGGGGCACAGACCAGGGGGUGGCGACUGUUUACCUAAAACACAGGGCUCUGCGAAGUCUAAAGACGACGUAUAGGGUCUGACGCCUGCCCGGUGCCGGAAGGUUAAGAGGAGAGGUGCAAGCUUUGAAUCGAAGCCCCGGUAAACGGCGGCCGUAACUAUAACGGUCCUAAGGUAGCGAAAUUCCUUGUCGGGUAAGUUCCGACCUGCACGAAUGGCGUAACGACUUCCCCGCUGUCUCCAGCA
RNAcentral lists this ribosomal RNA (1453 nucleotides) under marine metagenome. RNAcentral's name for it is "bacterial LSU rRNA". It matches the Rfam family "Bacterial large subunit ribosomal RNA", at positions 455 to 2027 of the family's 2925-position model. The record is from RNAcentral.